RNAcentral lists this ribosomal RNA (451 nucleotides) under uncultured bacterium. RNAcentral's name for it is "partial 16S ribosomal RNA". It matches the Rfam family "Bacterial small subunit ribosomal RNA", at positions 29 to 523 of the family's 1533-position model. The record is from RNAcentral.
AACGAACGCUGGCGGCAGGCUUAACACAUGCAAGUCGAACGCGUGUAGCAAUACACGAGAGGCGCACGGGUGAGUAACGCGUGGAUAUCUGCCUUUUGGUUCGGAAUAACUCCGGGAAACUGGAGCUAAUACCGGAUGGUUCCUUCGGGAUAAAGAUUUAUCGCCAAAAGAUGAGUCCGCGUACGAUUAGCUAGUUGGUGAGGUAAUGGCUCACCAAGGCGACGAUCGUUAGCUGGUCUGAGAGGACGAUCAGCCACACUGGGACUGAGACACGGCCCAGACUCCUACGGGAGGCGGCAGUGGGGAAUAUUGGACAAUGGGGGCAACCCUGAUCCAGCCAUGCGGCGUGAGUGAUGAAGGCCUUCGGGUUGUAAAGCUCUUUUGGCGGGGACGAUGAUGACGGUACCCGCAGAAUAAGCCCCGGCUAACUUCGUGCCAGCAGCCGCCGUAA